Small nuclear RNA from Fukomys damarensis (Damara mole-rat), 107 nucleotides. NCBI's taxonomy places the organism in Eukaryota, Metazoa, Chordata, Mammalia, Rodentia, Bathyergidae. The record is from Ensembl.
GUAUUUGCUUCGGCAGCACAAGUACUAAAAUUGGAACCAUGCAGAGAAGAUUAGCAUGGCCCCUGUGUAUGGAUGACCCACAAAUUUGGGAAGCAUUCUAUAUUUAA